AUAAUGGGUCAGCGACUUAUAUUCUGUAGCAAGGUUAACCGAAUAGGGGAGCCGAAGGGAAACCGAGUCUUAACUGGGCGUUAAGUUGCAGGGUAUAGACCCGAAACCCGGUGAUCUAGCCAUGGGCAGGUUGAAGGUUGGGUAACACUAACUGGAGGACCGAACCGACUAAUGUUGAAAAAUUAGCGGAUGACUUGUGGCUGGGGGUGAAAGGCCAAUCAAACCGGGAGAUAGCUGGUUCUCCCCGAAAGCUAUUUAGGUAGCGCCUCGUGAAUUCAUCUCCGGGGGUAGAGCACUGUUUCGGCAAGGGGGUCAUCCCGACUUACCAACCCGAUGCAAACUGCGAAUACCGGAGAAUGUUAUCACGGGAGACACACGGCGGGUGCUAACGUCCGUCGUGAAGAGGGAAACAACCCAGACCGCCAGCUAAGGUCCCAAAGUCAUGGUUAAGUGGGAAACGAUGUGGGAAGGCCCAGACAGCCAGGAUGUUGGCUUAGAAGCAGCCAUCAUUUAAAGAAAGCGUAAUAGCUCACUGGUCGAGUCGGCCUGCGCGGAAGAUGUAACGGGGCUAAACCAUGCACCGAAGCUGCGGCAGCGACGCUUAUGCGUUGUUGGGUAGGGGAGCGUUCUGUAAGCCUGCGAAGGUGUGCUGUGAGGCAUGCUGGAGGUAUCAGAAGUGCGAAUGCUGACAUAAGUAACGAUAAAGCGGGUGAAAAGCCCGCUCGCCGGAAGACCAAGGGUUCCUGUCCAACGUUAAUCGGGGCAGGGUGAGUCGACCCCUAAGGCGAGGCCGAAAGGCGUAGUCGAUGGGAAACAGGUUAAUAUUCCUGUACUUGGUGUUACUGCGAAGGGGGGACGGAGAAGGCUAUGUUGGCCGGGCGACGGUUGUCCCGGUUUAAGCGUGUAGGCUGGUUUUCCAGGCAAAUCCGGAAAACUAAGGCUGAGGCGUGAUGACGAGGCACUACGGUGCUGAAGCAACAAAUGCCCUGCUUCCAGGAAAAGCCUCUAAGCAUCAGGUAACAUCAAAU
This 1028-nucleotide ribosomal RNA is filed under the name Escherichia coli. Its description in RNAcentral is "partial 23S ribosomal RNA". It matches the Rfam family "Bacterial large subunit ribosomal RNA", at positions 612 to 1642 of the family's 2925-position model. Lineage: Bacteria; Pseudomonadati; Pseudomonadota; Gammaproteobacteria; Enterobacterales; Enterobacteriaceae. The record is from RNAcentral.